RNAcentral lists this ribosomal RNA (528 nucleotides) under uncultured bacterium. RNAcentral's name for it is "bacterial SSU rRNA". It matches the Rfam family "Bacterial small subunit ribosomal RNA", at positions 355 to 899 of the family's 1533-position model. The record is from RNAcentral.
UGGGGAAUCUUGGACAAUGGGGGCAACCCUGAUCCAGCCAUGCCGCGUGAGUGAUGAAGGUCUUAGGGUCGUAAAGCUCUUUCGCCUGUGAAGAUAAUGACGGUAGCAGGUAAAGAAACCCCGGCUAACUCCGUGCCAGCAGCCGCGGUAAUACGGAGGGGGUUAGCGUUGUUCGGAAUUACUGGGCGUAAAGCGCACGUAGGCGGACCAGAAAGUUGGGGGUGAAAUCCCGGGGGCUCAACCCCGGAACUGCCUCCAAAACUAUUGGUCUAGAGUUCGAGAGAGGUGAGUGGAAUUCCAAGUGUAGAGGUGAAAUUCGUAGAUAUUUGGAGGAACACCAGUGGCGAAGGCGGCUCACUGGCUCGAUACUGACGCUGAGGUGCGAAAGUGUGGGGAGCAAACAGGAUUAGAUACCCUGGUAGUCCACACCGUAAAACGAUGAAUGCCAGUCGUCGGGUAGCAUGCUAUUCGGUGACACACCUAACGGAUUAAGCAUUCCGCCUGGGGAGUACGGUCGCAAGAUUAAAA